AGUUUGUCAAAAUACAAACUUUUGGCUUCAAAUGGGUUCUGAAGGGACAUUGUAAAUUGUUAAACGGAGAAGAAAGGAGUAACUAAAACAAUCAGUCUUUCUUUGUAUCAUUUGAAAAUCAUUCAUUGAACCUUGCGAGCGGGACACAAUGCCUCAGUUUAGAAUAUCCCUAUGGCCGACCGGCUUCCACUCCGGAUUCAACUCCUGCCUGAGCUAGGAGUUUGAGUUAGAGCUGCCUGAGUAGCGAAGCACUUUACCGAAUAUAGAGGGUUCAAAGAGGAGAUUGGUUCGGCAGUGGCGAGACUUCGACCUGGAACAGUGCUUUCUCUUCGGCGGCGAGACUGGUUCGGCGAUGGUGAUAAUUGAUGGUUCGAAGGGGAAGGGUUUCGUUCUUCUCUUUUCUUCGAUCCGGAAAAAAUCUUAGUUUGAUGCUUGAGGUAUGUUUGUUAUCGAUUCUUGAGGUAUGCUUGUUUCCACUUGGUUAUUGAUUCUUCUCUUCAAAUUUCUCUGGCUGCCGCCAAACCUCCCUCCGUCCCUUCAUAUGUGAGUCCUCCAUCAGCUCCUCUCUCUUCUCCACCACCCAACUCCAUAAUUCCCCCAAACCGUAAUCCCUCUCUCUCUCUCUCUCUCUCUCUCUCUCUCUCUCUCUUCCUCUCCUUCUAUUCUUCCUUCUCACGACCUCUUUUCAAGCCCAAUUGACCCACUCCCACAACUACGAAGCAUUUCAAUUCCGAUCAUCUACCCAAUCUUUUGAAGCUAAAACCCUAGAUGUGGUCAACAUUGGUCCAGUUUUUCGAAGACAUUACAAUGAUUUUUCGGCUAAUUCUCUUUUUUCAGCAUUGGGGUGUGAAUUGGGGGGGUUAAAUUCCAUGGUGGAGGAUGGAAAAGGUGAGAUUGAGAGCUUGGAGGGUAUGAGUAGGAUUUCCAAUGAAUGGAGGGAGAUUGAUUUGUGUGCCGAUGAGUUCGAUGUGGGGCGGUUGAAUCAGUUACUCGGGAUAAUUAUUUUUUGGAUAGUUGAAAUCCUUGCAGCUUGUUCCAAGCCUAAGAGCAGAAUGAGAUAAUGAAAUUUGGAAGGCUGCUUUAAAUACUCUAGCUACAGCUUAUAAGAUCCUUGGGGAAUUUUGGGGCUUUAUUGGCAUCAAACUGGAAAGGAAGAGAGAAUUAUUUCAAGAUUUGGCUCCACUUUUGUCAAACUCUUUUGGUACUAUCACUGCACUCUUGCAGGCUUCUUCAGAGAUUAUGGAGUAGAUGGUUCUUGCAAGGUUGAAAACUUAUGGAGUUGGGUUGGUUUUGUCGCGUGUUAGGCAAAACCAUUUGAGAGCAAAUUUAUCAUAUUGCGAGAAGUCCAUGAUUUAGAUGGCUGGACUAAGUAUGCUUCACAGGUUUAGUAAUGGCAAUUAUGGUGGCUUUUUACCUUGGUCCUUUGGGCUUGAGGAAAGGCCUGAGUUUUGCGUGAGAUUUAGGUAUUCAGGUGUUUAUGGUUUAGGUUAGAACAAAUGCUCUAGGUGUAUCUUGGAUCUUGAAAAUGAAUCCUCAGGAAUUUGGUGAAAUAGAGCAUUGCUCAAUAUAUGUACUCUGCCUAAUUAUAAGGUUGUUUAAUUAUCAUAUAAUCUCAUAUGAUUGGAUGAUUCAGCCAAAGUCAUAGGCUAUUUGUAAAUGUUGCCCUAAAAUGUUUCACAAAAUAAAACACAAUGGGUCAUUGUUGCCUUGAGCUACAUUU
Molecule: non-coding RNA, 1720 nt
Organism: Camellia sinensis
Lineage: Eukaryota; Viridiplantae; Streptophyta; Magnoliopsida; Ericales; Theaceae
Source: RefSeq, a predicted model, not a curated record